CCUACGGGUGGCAGCAGUGAGGAAUAUUGGUCAAUGGCCGGAAGGCUGAACCAGCCAAGCCGCGUGAAGGACGAAGGUGCCAAGCAUUGUAAACUUCUUUUGUCAAGGGACAAAAUCAGGCUCGAGAGCCUGACCGAGGGUACUUUACGAAAAAGCAUCGGCUAACUCCGUGCCAGCAGCCGCGGUAAUACGGAGGAUGCGAGCGUUAUCCGGAUUUAUUGGGUUUAAAGGGUGCGUAGGCGGACUGUUAAGUCAGCGGGAAAAGCCCGGGGCUCAACCCCGGCGAGCCGUUGAAACUGGCGGGCUUGAGACGUCGAGAGGUAUGCGGAAUGCGCAGUGUAGCGGUGAAAUGCUUAGAUAUUGCGCAGAACUCCGAUUGCGAAGGCAGCAUACCGGAGGCGAUCUGACGCUGAGGCACGAAAGCGUGGGUAUCGAACAGGAUUAGAUACCCGUGUAGUC
RNAcentral lists this ribosomal RNA (459 nucleotides) under uncultured bacterium. RNAcentral describes it as "partial 16S ribosomal RNA". It matches the Rfam family "Bacterial small subunit ribosomal RNA", at positions 338 to 795 of the family's 1533-position model. The record is from RNAcentral.